RNAcentral lists this ribosomal RNA (481 nucleotides) under uncultured Desulfocapsa sp. Its description in RNAcentral is "bacterial SSU rRNA". It matches the Rfam family "Bacterial small subunit ribosomal RNA", at positions 900 to 1382 of the family's 1533-position model. The record is from RNAcentral. Lineage: Bacteria; Pseudomonadati; Thermodesulfobacteriota; Desulfobulbia; Desulfobulbales; Desulfocapsaceae.
CUUAAAGGAAUUGACGGGGCCCGCACAAGCGGUGGAGCAUGUGGUUUAAUUCGACGCAACGCGAAGAACCUUACCAGGGCUUGACAUCCCCUGACCGCGUAUGAAAGUACGUUUUCACCCUCGGGUGACAGGGAGACAGGUGGUGCAUGGUUGUCGUCAGCUCGUGUCGUGAGAUGUUGGGUUAAGUCCCGCAACGAGCGCAACCCUUAUCUUUAAUUGCCAGCAUUCAGUUGGGCACUUUAAAGAGACUGCCGGUGUUAAACCGGAGGAAGGUGGGAUGACGUCAAGUCCUCAUGGCCUUUAUGCUUAGGGCUACACACGUGCUACAAUGGGUGGUACAAAGGGCAGCGACACAGCGAUGUGAAGCGAAUCCCGAAAAGCCGGUCUCAGUCCGGAUUGGAGUCUGCAACUCGACUCCAUGAAGUUGGAAUCGCUAGUAAUCGCAGAUCAGCACGCUGCGGUGAAUACGUUCCCGGGCCUU